Papaver somniferum (opium poppy) is the source of this 1280-nucleotide long non-coding RNA. RefSeq lists it as uncharacterized. The transcript is spliced from 8 exons. Lineage: Eukaryota; Viridiplantae; Streptophyta; Magnoliopsida; Ranunculales; Papaveraceae. The record is from RefSeq and is a predicted model, not a curated record.
AAAAUGGAUCUCUAAUCAACGUUAGACAGUUCCACUUUAGAAAUCAAUAUGGAGAGUAAUGAUUCACCUAGAUGCAUUCUUUUUCUUUUCCUCCUCUGGGAUAAGAAGAGAUGCAUUCUCCUGUGCAUUUUUUGUGUCACCCGGAUGACGGACUUGGUGGAGGUUAUGCUCAGAAUCAUGCCACAGUAACGGGUUCUUUAGGGAUGACGGACUUGGUGGAGGUUAUGCUCAGAAUCAUGCCACAGUAACAGGUUCUUUAGGCUCACUGUCUGCUAAAAGAAGUUUUGAUGAUCCUAAAGACGACAAAUAUUUGCAUUUCUUAUACUGUCUUCAGCUUACAAUUGAAUUCUCUUGAAUGAAUUGUUAUAUGAGAAUGGUCAUCAUCAUUAGAAAAGUUGGAGGAUAAAUCGUGGCUCAGGAUGCAUCCCUUUCCUACGCCAUCAUCCAACGUCCCAGCUUAUUCUGCUGCAGUUUUUCAUCCGUAACGGAUGAAAUCAAUUAGCACCAUUAGGUGCCUUAAAAUGUUUGAGAUUAGUCUGGUUCCUAAUUUUACUCAAUUAGUCCGGUUCCUGAUUACUUAGAACACCAGUCAAAGUAGAGAUUAACUAUUCAUUGUUAUCGGAGAAGUUGUAGGAGACAACGGUUUAUGUGAUUUACACCAGAAGAAGUUGGAGUAAAUACGAUAAGGGUAUUUUUAGCACAUUGUCAGACUUGCACAUAUAGUUUUGUCAAUGUUUAGUUUGGUAGCUUAAAUCGGUAUUUUUUAGAUGGAAUAUUGUUAUAUAUCAGUUCACAUCUAAUAUGGAAGUGAUGGUCAGUCAAUAUUUCUUAUAUCCAUAUCAUGGGCGAAAGACUUGCAAUAAGCGACACUGCGAUUAACACAAUCGGUACAUGAACCAAGAUGGUAGAAAGAAUGCCAAUCCAAGCCAAGACAGUAAAAAAUGUUAGAGCAUACCUGGUAGUGGUUUGUUGCUUUUCAAUUUCCCAUGCUGGAUGAUGACACUACCAAGCAUACAUGGGAUAGGUGGAGGAUCUACCAAGCAUUUAUAGUGAUGGUGAAGGUGGUUGACGAUUCCUUUUUAUAGUAGUUAUCAGCUCCAUAAGAUUUUAAAUAUGCAUUUUAUACAUGAAAAUGUUACAACGAAGAGUUUCAGUAACUAUUGUUUUUUUUAAGAGAAAAUUAUUCAAUAAUAAGAGUACUUUGAGUAGGGAUGUUACUGCAACGAUGCUGUCCUUUUAAAGCUAUGUUUGCACCUUCAAACUUCAUAGUAUUGUGAAUG